RNAcentral lists this ribosomal RNA (510 nucleotides) under uncultured bacterium. RNAcentral's name for it is "partial 16S ribosomal RNA". It matches the Rfam family "Bacterial small subunit ribosomal RNA", at positions 28 to 523 of the family's 1533-position model. The record is from RNAcentral.
GACGAACGCUGGCGGCGUGCCUAAUACAUGCAAGUCGAGCGAAUGACGAGAAGCUUGCUUCUCUGAUUUAGCGGCGGACGGGUGAGUAACACGUGGGCGACCUGCCCUACAGAUUGGGAUAACUCAGGGAAACCUGGGCUAAUACCGGAUAAUCCUUCGAAUCACAUGUUUUGAAGUUGAAAGGCGCUUCGGCGUCACUGUAGGAUGGGCCCGCGGUGCAUUAGCUAGUUGGUGGGGUAACGGCCUACCAAGGCAACGAUGCAUAGCCGACCUGAGAAGGUGAUCGGCCACAUUGGGACUGAGACACGGCCCAAACUCCGACGGGAGGCAGCAGUAGGGAAUCUUCCACAAUGGACGAAAGUCUGAUGGAGCAACGCCGCGUGAGUGAUUAAGGUUUUCGGAUCGUAAAACUCUGUUGUAAGGGAAGAACAAGUACGUUAGGAAAUGAACGUACCUUGACGGUACCUUAUUAGAAAGCCACGGCUAACUACGUGCCAGCCGCCGCCGUAA